This 252-nucleotide ribosomal RNA is filed under the name uncultured bacterium. RNAcentral describes it as "partial 16S ribosomal RNA". It matches the Rfam family "Bacterial small subunit ribosomal RNA", at positions 524 to 776 of the family's 1533-position model. The record is from RNAcentral.
UACGUAGGGUGCGAGCGUUGUCCGGAAUUAUUGGGCGUAAAGGGCUCGUAGGCGGUUUGUCGCGUCGGGAGUGAAAUCCACUGGCUUAACUGGUGGCUUGCUUUCGAUACGGGCAGACUGGAGGUAUGCAGGGGAGAACGGAAUUCCUGGUGUAGCGGUGAAAUGCGCAGAUAUCAGGAGGAACACCGGUGGCGAAGGCGGUCUCUGGGCAUGUCCUGACGCUGAGGAGCGAAAGUGUGGGGAGCGAACAGG